CAGCAGCCACGGUAAUACAGAGGGUGCAAGCGUUAAUCGGAAUUACUGGGCGUAAAGCGCGCGUAGGUGGUUUGUUAAGUUGGAUGUGAAAUCCCCGGGCUCAACCUGGGAACUGCAUCCAAAACUGGCAAGCUAGAGUAUGGUAGAGGGUGGUGGAAUUUCCUGUGUAGCGGUGAAAUGCGUAGAUAUAGGAAGGAACACCAGUGGCGAAGGCGACCACCUGGACUGAUACUGACACUGAGGUGCGAAAGCGUGGGGAGCAAACAGGAUUAGAUACCCCCGUAGUCCCUGUCUCUUAUAU
Molecule: ribosomal RNA, 301 nt
Filed under: uncultured bacterium
Lineage: Bacteria
Description: partial 16S ribosomal RNA
Rfam family: Bacterial small subunit ribosomal RNA
Source: RNAcentral